GAUGAACGCUAGCGGCAGGCCUAACACAUGCAAGUCGAGGGGUAGAACACUUCGGUGUUUGAGACCGGCGCACGGGUGCGUAACGCGUAUGCAAUCUACCUUAUACAGGGGAAUAGCCCAGAGAAAUUUGGAUUAAUGCCCCAUAGCAUUACGACUUGGCAUCAAGAUGUAAUUAAAGUUCCAACGGUAUAAGAUGAGCAUGCGUCCCAUUAGUUAGUUGGUAAGGUAACGGCUUACCAAGACAAUGAUGGGUAGGGGUCCUGAGAGGGAGAUCCACCACACUGGUACUGAGACACGGACCAGACUCCUACGGGAGGCAGCAGUGAGGAAUAUUGGUCAAUGGGCGCAAGCCUGAACCAGCCAUGCCGCGUGCAGGAAGACGGUCCUAUGGAUUGUAAACUGCUUUUAUACAGGAAGAAACAUCCCGACGUGUCGGGACUUGACGGUACUGUAGGAAUAAGGAUCGGCUAACUCCGUGCCAGCAGCCGCGGUAA
Molecule: ribosomal RNA, 494 nt
Filed under: uncultured bacterium
Lineage: Bacteria
Description: partial 16S ribosomal RNA
Rfam family: Bacterial small subunit ribosomal RNA
Source: RNAcentral